CUGGGAGUGUCUUCGCGGCCGUGAAUCACGGCGGAGUGAAGGGAAAGCUCUCCCCAAGCACAGCUCUCCGCACGGGGAGGCUGCAGGUUUGGCUUUUGUUGGGUUCGGCUGUGGUUUUGUUUUCAUCUCCUGCCAAUUUCAAGCAGGGCUCUUUUUUUGGGUGGUUGUUAUCACGGCAAGAAUGUAAUUGCCUGCUGGAUUCGGGUCUGCUUCCCGGCAGGGUGAGCACAAACACUUACAUGCACUUGGAGGAAGCAUGACAUCUUGUUUUUAGCUCACUGAAGUGGCUGUGAGAUAACAAGCAAUGCCCUGUCCCUGAGCGUGCAAAAGAUGAGAUAACAUUCGCUGUUCUUGAGAUAACAAGAGCCCGAGGAUGGUUUGGAAGGCACCUCAAAGACCAUCGCCUCUGUCGGGUGGUGCACGGUGGUAAGACAAAGAACAACGCAUGCAAACUUGCCCAGAAGAAGGUUUCACCUCACCAUGGCAGAGUGCAGUAGCAAUGUGAGGAAAUGAUGGACUUGUAGAAGGAAAGAGAUGUCUCUCUCACUAAUGUGUCCAACUUGAGGCUCCCCAGUUCAAAAGAGACAGGAACCUGUUGGAGAGAGUCCAGUGGAGAGCCAUGAGGAUGAGUGGGGGACUCGAGCAUCUCCCCUGUGAAGAGAGACUGAGCGUCCUGGGGCUGUUUAGUCUGGAGAAGACUGAGGGGAGAUCUGAUCAGUGUGUACACAUCACAGGAUCACAGGAUGUUAGGGGUUGGAAGGGACCCAAAGUCUAACCCCCUGAGGGGGUCCAAAUACCUGAGGGGUGGGGGUCAAGUGCCUGGGACAAAUCUCUUUUCAUUGGUCAGCAGCAAUAAGCCAAGGAGCAACAGCCACAAACUGGACCAGAGAAGGUUUCAGCUCAACAUGAGGAGAAACUUCUUUGCAGUGAGGGUGACAGAGCACUGGAGCAGGCUGCCCAGAGAGGCUGUGGAGUCUCCUUCUCUGCAGACUUUCCAAACCCGCCUGGAUGCAUUGCUGUGCAGAGAGCAGCAGUGAGCCAAGGAGCAACAGGCACAAACUGGAACAGAGAAGGUUUCACCUCAACAUGAAGAGAAACUUGUUUCAGUGGGGGUGACAGAGCACUGGAGCAGGCUGCCCAGAGAGGUUGUGGAGUCUCCUUCUCUGCAGACUUUCCAAACCCACCUGGAUGCAUUCCUGUGCAGACUACCUUAAGGGAUCCUUCUUUGGCAGAGGGAUUGGACUGGAUGAUCUCUGGAGGUCCCUUCCAACCUCUAACAUUCUGUGAUCCAGUUCCCAGCUCGUACGAGAUCACCUUGCUCAAGACAAGGAGUGACUCUAGUGCUACAGCCAAGGAGAGCUGUGACUUCCAGCCCUUUGUGUGCACAGGCUGGUGUCAAGUUUAACACCAUGCUGUAAUUCGUUGUCAGUGCAUUAAUUAGUCAUGCAGAAAGGAUUCCAAGCAGACACUGCAUCAACGUAAAAAGCAUUAGCACUAUAUCAGCAUUGGCUGCCGGUUGAAAGCUGCUCACAAAGCCAGGAAUGCUCCUGCUGAUGGGAGAAGCUACACAACCUGCUCCCUGCUCCCAACCCAGUACACAAAUCAGGGGCUGGGGUGCUGGUAGGAUCACCAGUUUUUCCUGUUCCAUUCCAGUUCUGGGCUGAGCUCCCCACUUCAAGAGAGACAGGGAACUACUGGAGAGAGUCCAGUGGAGGCUAUGAAGAUGCUGAGUGGCCUGGAGCAGCUCUGUGAGGAGCAAAGGCUGAGAGCCCUGGGGCUGUGCAGCCUGUGGAAGAGCAGCCCCAGAGGGGAUCUGAGCAAUGCUCAGCAAGAGCUAAAGGAGCUGUGGGGGGUAAGGGGAUGGGGCCAGACUCUUGUCAGUGGUGCCCAGUGCCAGGACAAGGGACAGUGGGCACAAAGUGGAACCCAUCUGAAGGUGAGGAGAAACCUGUUUGGUGUGAGAGUGCUGGAGCCCUGGAGCAGACUGCCCAGAGAAGUUGUGGAGUCUCCUUCUCUGGAGAGCUUCCAAACCCCCAUGGCCAUUGUGAUGCUGGGCAAGCUGCUGUGGCUGACAUUGGGGUUUCCUGUUUCCUCUUGCUGUGUUUAGGUUAACAUCAUCUACAAAACAUAAGCUUCCCUUGCACAGCUCUUCACCUGAGUCAAAGAUGCCUUACAGUUUUGCAGGAGAAAAAAUAUUGCACAUCCAGAGCAAUGACUUGGGGGUCACAUCAGUUAAGAGAUGAGGGACAGAACUCUUUGGACCAUCAUAUCCUACAAGUCAGACCAUGAUUAGGAACAGGCUCAUCUGCCUGCAGCUUGCCUUGCUCCUGAAUCACCCUGAUGAAUCAAUCAGAAGAAUCCAGGCAAGCAGCUUGCUGAGGAGAAGUCAAAAGGAGCAGCACGGCUCAGAGGUGGCAUCAUGAAGAUGAAAGGUUUAAGAGGACAAGCAAGAAGUCCUGCAGCAGCAGGGUUGUAAGGGAUGUGGCUCUUGUGAAGGUUACAAAAGCCUUGUGUUGCUGGAGGGAGAGGGCCAAAUGUCUGACUGAAAAGAGGUUUCUGUGAAUCACCUCGUUCCAGCUCUCUCCAUCAAGCAUCUCUAGAAGGUAAACCUACCUCUGUGUGUGUGUAGAACCAUACAAUCAUGGAACAUGGAUUGGAAGAGACCCUUGCAGCUCCUCUAGUCCAACCCUGCUGCAGUCAGCAGGGAUAGUCCUGGCUAGACCAGAUUGCUCAGAGCCCCAUCAGGCCUGACACUGAGUGUCUACAAGGAUGAGGCUUCCACCACCUCUUUGGGCAACCUGUUUCAGUGCUCCACCACCUUCAUUGUGAUGAACAUCUUCCUAAUGGCCAAAGAGACUUUUAAUGGCCCAAAGGGCUUGCUCCUAAUGUCCAAAAGGACUUCUUCCUAAUGCCCAAAAGAACUUCUAAUGCCCAAAAGGACUCCUAAAGUCCAAAAGGACUUCUUCCUAAUGCCCAGAAGAAUUUCUAAUGCCCAGAAGGACUCCUAAUGCCCAGUUCUCAUCUCUCCAGCAUAACUAAGUGGAGCACAACCAAGACAAAGAUAAGAACCAACCAACCAACCAAAAAACAACAAAGAGAAAGAAAAAUAAAAACCCAUUUGAAAGA
Long non-coding RNA from Pogoniulus pusillus (Red-fronted tinkerbird), 3126 nucleotides. RefSeq lists it as uncharacterized. The record is from RefSeq and is a predicted model, not a curated record. Lineage: Eukaryota; Metazoa; Chordata; Aves; Piciformes; Lybiidae. The transcript is spliced from 3 exons.